AGAGAUUCCCUGACCUUGAGACUCUGUGUGUUGAGAAAUGUCCCAAGUUGACAAUUCAACCGGGGUGAUAGAAGCACCAAAGCUGGUGUAUUACAAAUAAUAAAUGGCAGCCAACUGACAGCAAUAAUAGUCCCUACAGUUAUUAAUCAUCACGGCUUUCCAUAGAUCAUCUAUAUGUCCCCGUCGCGGUUUGGUGAGCGCGGAGUCAGCAAAGCGCGUGAGACCAGAGCAGGUCAAUAAAUUAAGCGCCCCAAGAAGGUCAGUGCUUGGCGUUGGUCUCCAUUUACCUCCAAACGCUUCCGCAGACCAUCCUCUUCUCCACUCCAAAGUGUCUUCUCAUUUCUCAGCGUGUGUUCUCGUGAGCUCUGACUGCUCCAAUGGCCGAGCUUGUGGGCAGCAUGGUGGUCGGGCCACUGCUGUCCCUGGUGAAGGAGAAGGCGUCCAGCUACCUCCUUGACCAGUACAAGGUCAUGGAGGGCAUGGAGGAGCAGCAUGAGAACCUCAAGGUCAUGCUGCCGGCCAUCCUGUAGAAUGCACAUGGAAAGCCGUGAUGAUAUUAUUUUGUAUUACGGCUUUCGAUGCAACCAAUAAAUUAAAGGUCUGUUUAGCUCACCCGUCACAUCGAAUAUUUGAUACUAAUUAGGAGUAUUAAACAUAGGCUAAUUACAAAACUAAUUGCACAGAUGGAGUCUAAUUCGCGAGAUGAAUCUAUUAAACCUAAUUAGUCCAUGAUUUGAUAAUGUGGUGCUACAGUAACCAUUUACUAAUGAUGGAUUAAUUAGGCUUAAUAGAUUCGUCUCGCGAAUUACACUCCAUCUGUGCAAUUAGUUUUUUAAUUAGCUCAUGCUUAGUCCUCCUAACUAGCAUCCGAACAUUCGAUGUGACACUGCUAAAGUUUAGCACAUAGUAUCUGUCGUUAAAUUAAGCGCCCCAAGAAACAGGUUUAUCAAAAAAAAAAAUUAAGCGCCCCAAGAAGGUCAGUGCUUGGCGUUGGUCUCCAUUUACCUCCAAAGCGCUUCCGCAGACCAUCCUCUUCUCCACUCCAAAGUGUGUUCUCAUUUCUCAGCGUGUGCUCCUCUGACUGCUCUAAUGGCCGAGCUUGUGGGCAGCAUGGUGGUCGGGCCACUGCUGUCCCUGGUGAAGGAGAAGGCGUCCAGCUACCUCCUUGACCAGUACAAGGUCAUGGAGGGCAUGGAGGAGCAGCAUGAGAACCUCAAGGUCAUGCUGCCGGCCAUCCUGGAAAGGAUCACUGCCGCAGAGAAGCAGGCAACCUCCAGAGAAGCAAUCAGACCCUGGCUUCAGAAGCUUAAGGUGGCGGCAUACGAGGCCAUCCAAGUCUUCGAUGAAUUCAACUAUGAGGCCCUCCGUCGUCAAGCCAAGAAAGAGGGGCGCUACAUCAAGCUCGGGAUGGGCAACCGCAUCAUGUUCCGUCGCAGGAUGGGCAACAAGCUUUGCAAGAUUGUGCGCGAUAUUGAGGCCCUUGUGAAGCAGAUGCGCGACUUUCGGUUCGACAAACAGCCACAAGCGCAGGUUCAGAUAAAUUAUCUGCGUGAGAAUGACUCCACCAUGGUUGAUCCAGAGAUUGUCAGCAGAUCCAGAGAUGAAGAGAAGCAAAAGAUUGUUAGAAUGUUGGUCAAAGAACAAGCUAACAAUAAGGAUCCGAUGGUCGUUCCCAUUGUGGGGAUGGGUGGGUUGGGCAAGACCACCCUAGCUCAGCUCAUCUUUAAUGACCCUGAAGUGAAGAAGCAUUUCCACCAACUAAUGAAGUGGGUCUGCGUGUCAGAUGAUUUCGAUGUUUGUAACCUUGCCAACAAGAUCUGCAACGCUUCUGAGAGCAACCUGGAGAAUGCCUUGCAGAACCUUCAGAGAGAACUCGCUGGAAAGAGGUACUUUUAGAAUUUAAUUUGAUGUUGAUUCACUCAUCUCAAACACGCACACUGGUUUUUUUUCCCUCACACAUGCUCAAAAUAUGUGCAUUGCCCUUGAGAAUAACACGUAAUUGAAAAGAACAAGUAAAGCACAUGCAAACUACAUACACAAAAUUCAACUUCAAACUUAGAUCAAGAAGACAACAACGCCUCACCACUAGCAAAUUGCCCUCUUGGAUAUGCACGGAACUUGCACAUCUCACAUACCAUUUACGCUUCCUCUGGUGGCAUUCACAUAACUUAAGAAAAAGACGUACACAAAUAGAAACGUACACAAAUAGAAACGCACUAAUGGCAUGAUUAUUUGUAACAGGUACCUUCUUGUAUUGGACGACGUCUGGAAUAAGGAUGAUAACAAGUGGAACAAGCUGAAUGCCUGUCUUAAACAUGGUGAUGUUGGUAGCGCCAUACUAACGACAACACGUGAUAAAGAAAUAGCUCAACUCAUGAGUACAGGUGAAGAACAUGGCAUUGCACGUUUGGACAAUAAAUUCAUCAAGGAAAUUAUUGAGGCUAAAGCAUUCAUUUCGCAAGAGAGAAAACCAACUGAUUUAGCUGGCUUGGUUGAUGACGUUGUUGAGAGAUGUGCAGGGUCUCCAUUGGCAGCCAAGGCACUAGGAUCUGUACUACGUGGCAAGACAAGCACGGAAGAAUGGAAGGCUGUGAUUAGCAAAAGCAUCGCCCAUAACAAGGAUGAUCGAAUCCUGCCUAUUCUCAAGCUCAGUUACGAUGACCUGCCAUCACACAUGAAGCAGUGUUUUGCUUUCUGUGCUGUGUUUCCCAAGGACCAUGAGAUUGACGUGGAAAGGCUGAUCCAACUAUGGAUGGCAAAUGACUUUAUUCCCGAGCAAAAAGAUGUUCGUCAUGAAACAAUUGGUAAACAGAUUUUCAGUGAGCUGGUCUCAAGGUCAUUCUUUGAAGAUGUGAAGCAAGUCAAAGGGACAAGAUAUGGUUUCGUGUAUUGGUAUUUGUCUACAAGUACAUGUAAAAUCCAUGAUCUUAUGCACGAUGUGGCACUAUCUGUCAUGGGCAAAGAAGUUGCUACCAUAACUGAGAAGCCAAAGCAGAGUGAUGAGUUUCUUCAGAACACUUGUCGUCAUAUAUUGUUAUCAUGUGACGAGCCAGAGGCCGUUUUGAAUGAUUCUCUGAAUAUAAGGUCGCCAGCUAUACAAACACUACUACUUGGGGAAGAUUUCUUGCCGACAUAUAUUUUUUUGAAGGAUCCGCGCAUAAAAUCCCUGCAGCAUCUCGCAAAAUACAGCUCUCUGCGUGCAUUGAGACUUUGGCAGACUAAGAGCACAAUCCUACUGAAACCAAAGCAGCUACAUCUCUUGAGGUAUCUUGAUAUCUCGUUUAGUGAUAUAGUGGCACUUCCGGAAGAUAUCAGCAUUUUGUACAAUCUGCAAACGCUGAAUAUUUCUAACUGUUGGAAACUUGGUCGACUUCCAAAGGGAAUAAAGUACAUGACUGCCCUCCGUCACCUCUACACUCACGGAUGUGAGGAGUUGAAGCGCAUGCCACCAGAGGUUGGACAUCUCACUUCCCUGCAAACACUUACAGAUUUUGUAGUGGGUACAGGCCCUGAUUGCAGUAGUAUUGCAGAGCUGCAGCAUUUAAACAACCUUGGUGGUCCACUACUGCUUAGUCAACUCGAAAAUGUGACAAAAGCAGCAGAUGCAAAACAGGCCAGUCUUGGAAAUAAAAAGGAGAUCAGGGAAUUGUCAUUAAGCUGGACAGGUAGUGAGGAGGAGAAACAACAUUGUCAUAAGGUGCUGGAGGGUCUCGAAGCUCCUCCUGGACUAGAGGCUCUGAGGAUACAGCAUUACCAAGGAACCAGUUUCCCAACAUGGAUGGGUACGCUGCCAAAAAUGGUGGAGCUUCGUCUUUUUGACUGUAACAAGUCCAAUAAGCUUCCUCCACUUGGGAGUGUAGCAGCUCUACAAGUUCUUCAUUUGAAAAGAUUGAAAAAACUGGAAAGCUUGUGCAGUGGUGGUACAUUCUUUCACUUUCCUAAUCUGAAGGAGCUUACGCUGGAAGACCUGCCGGAAUUUGAUAGAUGGUGUGAAGUAAACUGGGUCCAAGGAGAACAGAUAAUGUUUCCUCAACUUGAGAAAUUGUUUAUUACAAAUUGUGGAAAGGUUACAGCAUUACCAGGGCCAGCACUUCUCGGAGGAUCGUGCUGUGGAGAUUCCAAGGAGCAAGACGAGAGGAAGCUUUGGUCGGCAUUUCCAGUCCUGAAGGUACUCAAAUUACAAUGCUUAGCAAAGUUUCAGAGGUGGGGGGGCGCUGCUGAAGCAACUCAAGGGCAGCAGAUAAUAUUUCCUCAGCUUGAAAAGUUAUCAAUCAAAAAGUGCCCCGAACUGGCAGCAUUACCAUCAGCUACAUCUCAGGGAGUAUCAUUUGACCAUAGUGAUGUUACAGCAUGGUCAGCAUUUCCAAACUUAAAGAAGCUCUUGUUAGAAGACUUAGAAAGUUUUAAGAGCUUGGGGAUGACGGAAGCAACUCAUGGUGAACAGCAGAGAUUCUCUGACCUUGAGACUCUGGGUGUUAAGAAAUGUCCGAAGUUGACAAUUCAACCGGGGGUGAUAGAAGCACCAAAGCUCGGUGUAUUAGAAAUAAAUGGCAGCCAACUGACAGCAAUAAUAGUGCCUACAGUUAUUAACUCAUUGUCCGAACUGGUGUUAUCAGUCGAAGACACAGAAACUACUUUACCAACUGUGCAUGGUGCCUUUGAGCUGGUGGACGCCAGUAAUAAAUACCCUCUGACACAUCUGGAGCUAAGCGGCUGCAACUUUCUGUUCCCCUCAAGUCCACUGGCACUAUGGGCAUGUUUUGUCCAGCUGCAAGAUUUGAAAAUUGAGAAGAUCAACCAUGCGCUUGUCUACUGGCCAGAAAAAGAGUUCCAGAGCUUGGUAUCCUUGCGGCACCUUACCAUUUGGAAGUGCAGUGGUCUGAUUGGGUACGUGAAAGCCGCUCCUAGCCAACCAAUAUCAGAAAGGAGCCAAGUUCUCCCCCGUCUCGAGUCUCUACGCAUACGGGAUUGUGAAAGUCUGGUAGAGGUCUUCAACGUCCCCGCAUCUCUCAAGACGAUGGAUUUGCACGACUGCCCUAAGCUUAAGUCCAUAUUCGGAGAGCUACAGGACGAGCCAACAUUCAAUCAAGGGCCCAGCGCUGCACCGAAGCUGUCAUCAUCGGCCUGGGAUCACUUACUUCCAUGUCUUGAAUCUCUAAAUAUACGGCAGUGCGAAAGCUUGUCAGAGGUUCUCAACCUUCCCCCAUCCCUCAGGGAAAUAGAUAUUUGGGAAUGCCCAGAGUUGAGAUCAGUCGAAUGUUGCUUGGGAGAGUUUGCAACCCUGGAACGCCUCGUUCUUAGUGAAUGCAAAAGCCUGGCAUCCUUGCCCGAUGGGCCACAAGCAUACUCAUCUCUCCGUCAUCUUCAAAUUACAUCAUGUCCAGGUAUACAAUCGCUUCCUUCAUCCCUGAAGAAGAGACUGGACAACCUCAUUGAUAAAUAUUUGGAUGCUCGUUACGAAGGUACCCAUCAAACUCAUUUGUCGUUUCACCAUCAAAUGCAUAAAUCUGCUCAUGUGUAUUUUCCUCUUCAACCUGAGACCCCGCAUUCUAUAAAUAUAUAUAUACCAGUCGCCUUAAAGCAUCCAUGCAGUAGUUUGGAUGAUAUGGUGUGAUUAUUUUUACAUUAGAGAAAGGUAUUUGCGUCUAUAGACUAUAGCUAGGUGUGAACUGUGCCCAGAAAUUAUUGACAAGGAAUAGUGGAAAGAACUCAGCAAUCACUAAAAAAACAUGAAGAGUGUCCCACAAAGUUACUUUUUCAUGCAGUUGUCAUGGUGGCUUGCUGGUUUCAGCACUUGCACAAUACGAAAUUUAAAAAAUCCAAGUGAUCCCUCCACACUUGGACAAUUAAGAACACGACUAUAGAUUGUUUUCAAUUUGCAUUGAACUGAUAUUUUUCUAUUUCCCUAAUGUUACACAUCAAAUAGAGAUGCCAAGUUGCCAAUGCAACGAAGGUUUUUACUUGUCAAUUUAAUUGAAUUUUGCUGUCUAAAGGACAAAAUGUGGAUUAAAUAAAGAGCUCUUUUACGGUGCACAAUACUACCACGUGGUAGUAUAGAUUAUAAGUACUUUUUUAGCAUGGGCAAAAUUGUAAUUAGCACGCAUAUAUUAUUUGGAGAUUUUUUUCCGCGAGCCCUUCUCCCCACGCGCCGCCAGUCCCCCACGUCCGCGCCUGGGCGCACCCGCGCCCCCGGAACCCUCGGCGGCCGAUGCUGACACUGACGACUUCCUGCCGGCUGAGGCUGCGCGUGGCGGUGACGUGCUGUUUGAGCUUCACUCCCACUCAAACCACAGUGACGGCUUCCUCUCCCCCACCGCGCUCGUCGAGCGCGCCCACCGCAAUGGGGUAAGUGGAUGAAUCCUAAAUGGCCUCUAGUCCGUUUGCCUGCUAGGUGUUUGAGGAAAUGCUUGUGACGUUUGUUCGGCGGCGUUGUACUGUGCUUUGUGGAAUUCGACUUCGAUGGCCUCAUCGUCUUUAGCUGUGGUGCUUAACCGAGCAUUGCGUUUGUUGUACCUGCCAGUGUGCCGUGUGCGUAGCUGUUCCCCGUCUUAUAGGACUGUUCCCCGUCUUAGUAUCUGGAUGAAAGUGCUGUACUGGUGACUACAGUAUCUAACAGGGAAGCAGUUUCCUUGGAUGUUUCAACUCCCCUCUGAUGAUCGGUUUGUUUAAAUUUGAAUGAAGCUGUCAUCUUCUGGCACGCAUUGGUUAGUUCAGACGGUGUAUUGCUUAGCUAAUUGCUGCUGAAAAAAAUGAUUGAGAUGCACUAGUGCCUGUUUCCCCUUGAAAUGUUUUAUGGAUUAUAUACCAUAACCUACCUCCUAAAGUUUCGGUAUGGUUGUGUGCUGUUUAAAAGUUAUAUAUUGAUGGGCACAUAUUACAAAUCUUGGAGUGUCUAAACUAUAUAUGUUUGUGGCGUAGGUGAAAGUUCUUUCCCUAACAGAUCACGACACUAUGGCUGGCAUACCAGAAGCUGUUUCAGCAGCUUCCAAGUUCGGCAUUAGAAUAAUUCCUGGAGUUGAAAUCAGUGCGCUGUAUAAUCCAAGGUAAGUGCCCUUUAGCUUUUAGAGAAGAGAGCUUUCUGUGUUUUGAAUAAAAAUCAUCAAUUGCAUGCAGCUUAAUGAAUCAAGCAUCCUAUUGUUGCGGACUCUCAUAAAUAGAUCUGCAAUAUUGUUUUAAUGCUCCAUUGCCUGUCUAAUAAAAUGAUACUGUAAACAACAUUUAAGCAGUUGUAUUAUGACUAGGGAUAUUUCAUAUGAUGAUUCAUUAUAUUAUGAAUUUCAUUUUCUAUAAGGGAAGGUGCCGGUGCUGGUGAGCCUGUUCAUAUCCUUGCAUACUAUGGUACAUGCGGUCCAUCAAGAUAUGAUGAGUUGUACAGCAUGCUAUUGAACAUCAGAGAUGGGAGAUACUUACGUGCAAAGAAUAUGCUGGCAAAGCUAAAUAGACUCAAGGUGACGAUAAAGUGGGAGCAUAUAACUAAAAUUGCUGGUGAGGGAGUGGCAACUGGUCGAUUGCAUGUAGCAAGAUCUUUGUGUUAAUAAUAGGGCCUGUGUUUUUUGCAGAGGAAGUGAACCAUUUGCUGAGACUGUUGUGCAGUCAAUUAGUCGUACUGGGGGUAUAUCUGCACUCGCUCAUCCUUGGACCUUGGUCAUUGAAGAACCCUGAUGCAGUAAUCAGGUCUUUAGGUGCUGGCCUUAAUGGUAUGGAGGUCUACAGAAGUGAUGGAAAGGUUGAUGGUAUGUGUGCUACACACUUACACUUUAUGCACUAUGACUUGAAAUAGAACAGAGGACUCCGGUAGUCCUGUCAUGCGCUAAAAUCUUCCCAGAAGAGUGCGGUGUUCCCAUCGCCCAACUGUACCCGGAUGGAAAUUUGGAAGAUUUUACGAAGGGUAUGGUCGUUGUCCACCGUAUUGGCUAGGUGCUUCCAUGGUCGUUGUUCGUCAGUCCUCUUGAACCACAACCAGCGCAAUCGGAGGGCCAGCGAUGCAAUUUUGAGGUUCUGAAUUCCUAGACCACCAAAGAGUUUAGGGCGGCAUGCAAGUGGCCAGGCCACUGCACAUUGCCCUCCAUUGGCUGCCUGCUUACCUGCCCACAGAAAACCCUUUCUAAGUUUGUCGAUUUCAUGAAAUACCCAGGCCGGUAUAUCAAGGGAGAUUAGGUUGUAGGUGCAGGUCGCGGUCAGAACUGAUUGAACCACUGUUAGUCUCCCCGCCUUGUUCAUGAGUUGAGCUUUCCAACUCGGGAUUUUGCUGGCCACCUUGUCGAUCAAGGGUUGGAAGUGGGAUUUCCUCAGUCUUCGAACCGAUAGGGGCAUGCCAAGGUACUGUAUUGGGAACUCUACCACUUGGGCAGGGAAGAUGCUACUAAUUCUCGCGAUUUGCUGAUCAUUGCAAGCAAUUGGGGCGAUGGAGCACUUCUGUAAGUUGGUGUGCAACCCAGAUGCGUUACCAAAGAAGUCGAGAAUCCCCUUGAGGGCAAUCAAAUCCUGGGCCACCGGCUUAGCAAAAAUGAUCACGUCGUCAGCAUACAAAGAGCAUUGGUGACAUAUGGCACUAUCAGCCGGGUGGGAGAGGACUCCCAGUUCCGUAGCCCUCUGAGAAGCCGGUGCAUCACUUCCAUAAUGAGGAUAAAAAGCAUUGGCGAUAGUGGAUCGCCCUGCCGCAGCCCUCUUGCGUUGCGUAUUGACCGACCUGGGGAGCCAUUUAGCAGCACUCUGGUGGUGGCAGUGGAAAUGAGCACGGAGAUCCAAUCCCUCCACUUAAUCCCAAAGCCUCUCGCUUGUAGAACUUGCAGUAGAAAAGGCCAACAGACGGUGUCAAAGGUCUUUGAGAUGUCAAGCUUGAUUAGGAGGCUGGGCUUGUGUUUCCGGUGUAGGGUUUUCGCAGCUAGCUCCACAAACUUAAAAUUAUCAUGGAUUGACCGUCGCUUCACGAACGUGCUCUGGUUAAUGUCCACAAGGUUGUGCAGCUCCUGAACAAGCCAGUUGGCAAGCAGCUUUGCAACUAGCUUCGCGAAGCUGUGCACAAGGCUGAUGGGUCUGAAAUCAGUCGGGGACACAGCGUCUUGCCGUUUCGGUAGCAGAGUGAUUAGGGAGCAAUUCAGGCGGCCAAAUUGGCGCAUGCACCGUGGUAGAGCGCGUCAAAACAUGCAAGAACAUCUCUUUUGAUCACCGGCCAGGUUGCUUUGUAGAAUUGCUCAACUUGUAGAUGAGGUCCUGCAAGUACCCUGUGGUUUGUAGUCAAACUACAGCAUUACUGCUAUUGCAAAGAUUAGGAGAUUUUAUCUCUCUUUUUCUAGGAAUUUUUUUUAAAUAAACUGCAUGAGAAGAAGUGCAAGUAAAUUCACGGAAAAUGUAAAUUCACUGACUGACCGACCAGUCUCGGUGCCUGAGGCGCUGAUGAUCCCUUGCUUCUCCAGGCGCUUCUUCCUGUCCUCCUUGAUGCGCUCCAGCAGCUCGAUGUCGUCGUCCUCCUCGAGCACAAGGGCCCGCGCGGGGCGGUCGGCAGCGAACGGGGAGAACGACGCCGCCAGGGCGGCGAGCACGCAUGACGCCAGGCCGCUCUGUCGGCCGACGACGGCGGCGGCCUCACGCCGGUCCUGGCCUCCGUUGCUGCUGACGCCUCUGAACUUGGCCCAGCAUGCUGCCGCUGGGGGAUGGUGCUGCGCUGGCAGCUCCUGCACCGCAGCCGCCGCCGCCCGUUGCAACCCUAGCGACUGAUUGUAAAUGAAGAACCAUAGCGACCAAUUGGAAAUGAGAAGAUGAAUAAAAGGAAAGGAGAUGAUAAUGAAGAAAGAUUUGAUAUAUUGUAACAAUGCUAAUUUUCAUCUUUCCAAUCAUACCCAUAUACUACCCAUACUACUCAUGCAUAUUAUUACCUAUACUUCAACUUAAAAUUCUAGUAGUAUACAAUUAAUUUGAACUGUCGGAUCCUUACAUACGAGUCCUUUUCAACAAUAGUAUAGGGUAGUAUUAUACACCACAAAAGAGCUCUAAAUAAAAGGUCCCAGGAGCCUACUGUGUGGUACCUUUCUUUUAAUGGUUUUUUUGCUAACUUCACGCCUUUGGAUGCACAAAAAUGUACUAUUUCUGUUUUUGUUUCAGAAAGAACUGGAGUUUUUCUCUUUCCAAUUCGGUAGUUGUAUAUUUUAAUAUGCAUACUCAAAUCUGCUUGACGUACACGUUUUUCAUGUUAUACUCUAGAUUUCUAUUGAUAAAUCCUAACAUCAGCGAUUACCAAGUGCCAAGUUAUUGAAACCAAAGACAUGGAAAUAUGCCAUUCAUUUGUAGAAAUCAGUGAGCUGUCAAAACAUUAAGUAAGGUUAGUAGCAUAAAAAGUUUGGGUUUUUAUUAGAAUCAUUUCAAUUAAUCUAGUAUUGAUUCCAUAUCCUGUCUAUUGUAGGGACAUGUUUGCUUCAUUUACUGUCAGCAUCCAAACCAUAAUAUGGAAAUGCUAUUUUCCUUCUAUGUUGACCAAGGUCUGAGUUACCAUACAGGCUCUGAUGCAAGUUGUUAAAGGCAGUAUAAAUUCUGUACCAGACAUUUAUUUAUAUUUGAUAAUCAUGAGAGAUAUAUUACUAUUUUAUUUUUGCAUCAAAUGGAUGUGGAGGCUGGGAUAUUAAUACUUUCUCCCAUUAAUACAGCUACAUCAUGGCAGUUAUCUCCCUGUGAUUGGAAGAGAGUUCUGCAUUUUGCAUAUCAACUGCAACUAUAUGAUGUUUAUAACUGAGCCUGGAGAGAUAUUAUGCCAUUUCUGUGACCAUUCUCUUCUAUUAUGUCCAUUUCACAUAUUCAAAACAAAAUUUUCCCUUAAUUGACUAUUGUAUUGAAUUGAUAUUUUCCUUUUUUUAGAUAAUACUGAUAUUUUUAACUUGCUUUACUUUCCCUUAACAUGAUUGGAAGUUUAAGACCAUGCCUAAAUUUCAAAUGUGCCUUCCUUUUAGUGCAUUACUUCUUUGGUGACCAAUUAAUGUUUUGACUAGCUGCUACUGAUCAAUUAUUCAUACCUGCCAAAGGACCAAUAACUUCGUGGUGCAGCCAAUUAAAUUGUUACUGAUUUCAUGCUAUCAACAUGGAAAAAGAUACAGUUUGACACCCAGCCACAAUCAAACAAUAACUUAGUAGUUUGAAAUGGUUAUCGCAAUUUGCGAUGCUUUGUGCAGAGAAGAUGACUCUUUGAGGUUAAAGAAGAUUCUACAAAUACCCAGCAAGCUUCAGGAAUGAAUUAUUUCAAGCUGGUGGCAUAAUAGUGCACACGGCGGAUGCAGCAACAGAGGACAACUCUGCUCCCCGGCCCCAGGCGCGCCGCCGAAAUGCCUCGGCACCGCCGCCUCCGACACGGCAAGGGCAGCGGGCGCCACAAGCUGAUGAACCUGCACAGGCAAAAGCCAGAACUGAGGCGUUUGGCUUUGCCGAGAUGGCCACACCCAUGUCUGAACGGGCAAAGGCCCGCCCUCCGGCGGAGCCCGUAGAGCAGGGCGGCCCCGACGACCAAGACGGCCAGACCGCAGGAGGGAGGGCUCGCGGCGUGUUCUCGCCGCAGGACAUCCAGGCGGACGGAGGAGGAUCUUGCGAUGUGUCGGCGACGGGCGCUGAGGAGCAGGCGGGGUCUCAUGGCGCUGUGGGCAACGGGAGGCCGAGGAAGCUGGAAGGAGGGGACAGGGAGAAUGAUGCUGAAGCUGGUGUGGUGCGAGCUGACGAACAAGCGCGGAUUCUGGACCAUGUCUUCUCCAAAGGACGUCAACACCAGGUACAACAGCAACCUCACCUUUGUUCUUCCUCUUCCUGUAAAGGGUCGUGCACACAAGGUGUUCGGUCUUUUGUCGUUGCAAGUUUUGCAAAGGAAAAAGGGGACAGGGGCAUAUCUACUAAUCAAAGUAGACGGCGUUUAACGCUAGCACCACGAUUAGCACCCGCAGAGCAACUUUGCAGCACGAAGAAGGUACAGUCAGUAUUGACCAGGGAAAAUUUUGAAGAUUCAGAAGUUCUAAGGGAAAGAGGAGGAAUGGAAAAGGAGGAACAGAGUGAGAGAGAGAAGAAGCAAUUCAAAAAAUCGCAGGAUCCUUUGCAAGGUCUCCGAAGGAACGAGACUGGCUCUCGAUUCUGGGCCUUAGCAAAUGAGGACAGUUCUGACGAGGAGGAGGAAAGGGAGGAAGAAAGUGAUAAGAUGAAAAUGGAAAGUAUAGUGGCUGAGGAGAGAAGCUGUUCUUCCCUAGAGGAAAGAACAGAACUCUCUAGCAGUGGAUCUAGAGAAAAGGGAAUAAAAUUAGUUAAGAAGCAGGAAAGCAAAGAUAGAACAAAGGGCAAAGACAAAAAACCUGGACAUAUGAUCAAACCAUGGAAAGGCCCUUUACCUCAGAGAAAUUACCCUUUGAAAAUGUCACUAGGUGACAUCAGGGUAAAAGAUCUGCGUGAGGUGGCCCAUCCAUUGGAUAAGAGAAGUCUAGAUAUUUUUUUGGAGGAAGAAUCAAAAGUUAUGUAUGAGGAUAACUACAUAGGGGAGGCUGAUUCAGUGAAGUUAAGGAUGAACACAUUGGAGAAGAAGUGCUCAUCAAAGAAGACGAAGUUUGAAUUCAAAUUUCAAAAAGUUCCAAAGAUUAACUCAGGGAAAUCAAUAACCUGGGUGGGUAAAACUGGUUUCAUUCAUGUGGGACCACGUGCAGUUUUCCAAUAUACAAAUGGUUUAAGUCAGCUUCUUAAUAAUGGAGGGAAGCUCAAAAGGCAAGACAUUAAAUGUCUGCCCAAGAAUCAAGGUGGUGUUUGGGCUGCCUGGGGUAAAGGGGCGCCAGCCUCUGUGAUUAAUAGCAACUCAUCUGUGCAACAAGCACCCUUUGACAUUCUAACCACAGCUGUCGAGUGUCACAGAGAGAGAACAGAUUGUCAGGAGGAAGAGGAAGAAGGAAGAAUGUUGAGGAGAGGGUUUGGCACAAGAGGAAUAUCUGGAGCUAGGGGAGCACAUGACGGUCGGUUUAACCAGGACCGACUAGAAAUGGGAGCACAAAGAGAAGAUUCAGGAGGCGUCUGGCACUUUGGAGGAAAUCAGAGAAGACAGAUGGAAGCCAGAGCAGGUGGCAGGGAAGGGGCAGGAGAUGGGUAUGGAAGAAGAUUUAUAUCAAGAGAUGGGUCAGGCAAUGAGAGGAAUAGGGAAGGGCAACAACAAGGUUUUGGGAGCUAGAGAGGUCUACAGGGGCCAGGAGGAUCAAGGGUGGAUGUGAGGGUGGAGUCCCUGAGAGGCAGAGGGGGAUGGCGUAGGUGGCAGGAGCGUACACAAAGAGCAGAAGUGGUGAAGGAAGAGGAUAAAGGAAAGAAGGUGAUAACACGUGAUGGUGAACAGAAAGAAGGAUCGAGGGGGAAAGCUGGGAUGGAUUUCCAGAUGACAGUAGAUGGACUUGGAGAAGAAGAGAAAGGAGAUGACACCAAGUCAGGGAUCAAGUGCUCAAAAUGUGCAAAGAAAGGACAUGUGGCUGCCACGUGCACUAAUCCAGUUUACUGUGUUAUCUGUAACGGUGAUGACCACGUCAAUCACAAAUGUUUGCUGCUAAAGCAGUCUAGGCCAGUGGCACACGCGGUGGGAUACGCUGUCUAUGGGCUUGGUUUCUACCACAUUCCACAUCCACCGCUGUCUAGGAGUAAAAAAGAAUCCAAGAAGGCCCUAAUUAGGGUGGGAGGAGGGAAACUAACCAAGGAGAAGGUGGUUUCACAACUGCAAAGGUUGUACCCAGGAAAGUGGAAUUGGGAACUGGAAGACAAUGAAGAUAACACCUUCAUCACUACAUUUCCCUCAAAAUCUGAACUUCAAAGGGCAAUAGCUUUUGGAGGGGCUAAUGUUAGAGAAGAUGGAGUUCAGAUAGGUGUGAGGUUACAAUUUGAAACUUGGCAAGAGAAAGAAGAGGGAUUCCUUUUACCUAAAGUUUGGGUAAGAGUACAUGGGCUGAGAAAAUCUCUAAGGGAGUAUAUGAAUUUGUGGGCAAUAGGUUCAUUGUUGGGAUCUACCCAAACUGUGGAUAUGGAGAUGACUAGAAAAAAUGAAUUUGGAAGAAUAUGUGUGGCAGCCCUUAACCCCUUGCUUAUCCCCUCACAUUUAGAUGUGGUGAUAGGGGAUCACUACUUUGAACUAGAAUUUGAGGUGGAAAGGAAAGGGACUGAUGAGAAUGGAGAGGAAGCAAAUUUUGAUUGGAAGGGAGAUGCAGAAGGAGAGGAUGAGGGAGAGGGCAGUGAGGAUGGCUUAUUGCAGGAUGACCCAGAUAUGAUCAGGGAAAUAAAAAGAAGGAAAAAUGAUAGUGAGGUCAAGGAGAAGGAAGAUAGCAGUACAAAAUAUAGGCAGGAGGAGCAGGGAUGGACAGAUAAAGAAUCAUGGAAAGAUAAAGUUCAGAAGAUGAGUGAAAUGGAGUUUAAUCUGUUUCUUAAGGAAAAGGCAGAAGAAAUAAUGGAUAGAGCAGUGGACAAAACUUUGGAGGUUUUGAUAGAUCAGGUUAUGACUGACCAGAAUGAAAAUAAUGAGGGGGAGAGCAGCUGGGAGGAGGAAGAGGGAACAGAUGAACUGAAGAAGAGGGCUGCAAUUCCUGAGACAGUAAUGACGCCAACAAGGGUUAGUCCAAGGUUGGCUAACUCAGGAGAUGAGCAUAUUCUUGCUAAGACAGAGAAGAUGGCUGCUAGGAAAAAUCUGGAGCUCAAAGAAGGUAAUUAUGAAACUGAAGUCUCCUUUCAUUUUCCUUUAGAUAAUGUUAUCUGUAAUGUUAGUCAACUAGGGGUUAGGUUGGGAGAGAGUGAAAAAGAGAAGGAAAGGGUAGUACAAGAAAUUCUCACAGUACAAAAGAGAGACAUAGAUCUGCCUGUAGAGGUAGAUAAUCAAGAUGAGAGUAAUCUGUACAGUGACAUGGAGGAGGAGAGGGAAGAAAUAGAAAGUAGUCAAAUUCAGAACCUUUGUGGGGAACUUUUGGAAGAGGUUUUUGACGAUGAUUUUAGUUACAUGGAUUUUUACUCUAAGAUGGGUAAUCACAAGUCUUGUGCUAAGUCACGAAAGAGAAAGACUUGUAAGGUCAGGCUACCCAAAGUCAAUAUCGAUAUGGUUUCCAAAUGAGAGGAAUCUUCUGGAACAGCAGAGGUCUUAGUGACUUGGCUAAAAAAAGAUUCCUUUUAGAAACAUCUAAAGAACAGAACUUAGCUUUCAUUGCUCUACUAGAAACAGGAAAAAGAGACUUUACCUAAGCCACUCUAAGUAAUUUGUGUGGGGGAAAAACUUUAUCUGGCAUUGGACUGAACCACAUGGAAGAUCAGGGGGUAUCCUCCUAGGUGUGGAUCUAGAUGAGUUAGACAUUGGUAGUAUUGAUGAAGGAGACUUUUAUGUGAAGUUCAAAGUAAGGACAAGAAAAGAUAAUUUCCAGUUUGUGUUGGUGGCUGUUUAUGGAGCAGCACAACCAGCUUUUAAAGAAGCUUUCUUGACCGAAAUGGUGCAGGCCUAUAGAAAAGAGAACCUUCCUAUUGUCCUUGGGGGAGAUUUUAACAUCAUAAGAAACCCAAGUGAAAAGAACAAUGAAAGGUACGAAGACAAAUGGCCCUUUCUUUUUAACGCUAUCAUAGAUAGCUUAAAUUCAAAGGAGAUACAUAUGUCAGGAAGAAAGUACACUUGGGCUAGUUCCUUAAAAAAUCCAACAUAUGAGAAAUUGGAUAGGGUGUUGGUUAGUACAGAGUGGGAAGAGAAAUUUCCUUUAGCUACGGUUGAUGCAUUGAGCAGGGAAAUCUCAGAUCAUACACCCUUAUUGCUUAGUACUGGACAGGAAGGGGUGAGAAGGAACCAACACAUGUUUAAGUUUGAACUGAGCUGGCUUUUGAGGAAAGAUUUCCUUGAGAUAGUAGCUGAUGUGUGGAGUAAGGAAAGAAAAGGUUCCAAUCCUAUACAGAAAUGGCAAAAUAAGAUUAGGAGGUUAAGGCAAUUUCUGAGAGGAUGGGCUAAAAACCUAAACGGGAAGUAUAAAAAAGAAAAACAGGAGCUACUUAAAAGGGCAAAUGAGCUAGAUAAAAAGGCUGAAUCACAGCUGCUAAGUCAGCAAGAAAGUGAUUUAAAGAAUUGCAUUCAAGAUACACUAGUUCAGCUCCUGAGAGAAGAAGAAAUAAGAUGGUAUCAAAGGGCAAAAAGCAAUAAGCUACUGAAUGGAGAUAACAACACAAAAUAUUUUCAUAUGGUAGCCAAUGGCAAACACAGGAAAACAAGAAUCUUUAGACUGGAACAGGAUGAGGGCAUUAUAGAAGGGGAUGAUAAUCUUAAAAAUUACAUAACUAAAUAUUAUAAAGAACUAUUUGGAUCUCAAUCAAGGAACAUUUGUUCUAUGAACGAAUCCUUGACAGAGGAUAUCCCUCAAGUAUCAAGAGAAGAAAAUGAAAUCUUGACUGAAAAAUUCACAGAAAAGGAGGUCAGAGAAGCUAUCUUUCAAAUGAAGCAUAACAAAGCUCCGGAAUCCGAUGGAUUCCCAGUGGAGUUUUACCAAGUAUUCUGGAGUCUCAUUAAAGAUGAUCUAAUGGCCAUGUUUGAAGACUUCCACAAAGGUAAUCUACCACUAUAUUGUUUAAACUUUGGGAUAAUAACUCUAAUCCCAAAACUCCAGGAAGUGAAAAUGAUCCAACAGUAUAGACCAAUAUGUAUGUUAAAUGUCAGUUUCAAAAUCUUCACAAAAGUGAUGGCCAAUAGGUUUUCUCUGGUGGCUGAAAAAGUCAUCAGGCCAUCACAGACUGCUUUUAUGCCUGGGAGGUACAUAAUGGAAGGGGUAGUAGUACUUCAUGAAACUAUACAUAAGUUAAGCAGGAAAAAGCAAGAUGGAAUCAUUCUCAAAUUGGACUUUGAGAAAGCCUAUGAUAAGGUUAAUUGGUCUUUUCUUCAACAGGCAUUAAGAAUGAAAGGCUUCUCCUCAAAAUGGUGUGAGUGGAUAGAAAGUAUAGUCAGUAAGGGAAGUGUGGGGGUAAAGGUAAAUGAUGAUAUUGGACAUUUCUUCCAGACAAAAAAAGGUCUUAGACAGGGUGAUCCCUUAUCGCCAAUGCUAUUUAAUAUAGCAGCAGACAUGUUGGCUGUUCUUAUUGCUAGAGCAAAACAUAGCAACCAAAUAAAGGGCCUAGUGCCACAUCUCGUAGAUGAAGGAUUAUCUAUCCUCCAGUACGCAGAUGACACAAUAAUCUUCAUGGAAAAUGAUUUAGAGCAGGCAAGAAACUUGAAAUUGGUGCUAAGUACCUUUGAAAAACUUUCAGGCCUCAAAAUCAAUUUCCAUAAGAGUGAAUUGUAUUGUUUUGGGGAGGCAAAAAACCAAGUUAAGGUUUAUGUAGAGAUAUUUGGGUGCAAGGAAGGAACACUACCAUUUAGAUAUCUUGGAAUUCCAAUGAUGCAUCGCAGAAUUGCAAAAAAGGAUUGGAAAAUGACUGAAGAAAGGUUCCAGAAAAAAUUAGCAAGCUGGAAGGGCAAAUUAAUGUCAGUGGGAGGCAGGUUAGUACUGAUAAAUUCUGUCCUCUCAAGUUUACCAAUAUUUAUGAUGUCCUUUUUUAGAAUACCUAAAGGUGUUCUUAAAAGAUUGGAUUAUUAUAGAUCUAGAUUCUUCUGGCAAAGUGAUGAACACAAAAAGAAAUUUAGGUUGACCAAAUGGAGUAUCCUUUGUGCACCUAAGAAUGUAGGAGGUUUGGGUAUCUCCAAUGUGGAGGUUCUAAAUAGGUGCUUGCUAAGCAAGUGGUUUUUUAAACUUCUAAAUGAGGAGGGAGUAUGGCAAACUUUGCUUAGAAAGAAAUAUUUGGUGAACAAGACUCUAACUCAAGUGACAAGGAAAAGGGGAGAUUCACACUUCUGGGCGGGCCUCAUGGAAAUAAAGGAUCAGUUCCUAUCAAUGGGAACAUUUGAGGUGCACAAUGGAGAAAAAACUAGGUUCUGGGAAGACGUUUGGAUGGGAAAGACAACUUUGAGGGAAAGAUAUGCAUCCCUGUAUAAUAUAGUGAGAAGGAAAGAUGACACCGUAGCCAAAGUACGUGGAUCUGCCCCUCUAAAUGUUUCUUUCAGAAGAGCAUUAACAGGGCACAGAUUGGAAGAAUGGCUAAAAUUAGUGGCUGAUAUUAUAAGUCAUGCUACAGACAGGCAGGAAGACAGAUUUAUUUGGAAUAUGAAUAAAAACAAAGUUUUCUCAGUGAAGUCAAUGUACAGAGAAAUAAUGCAAGCUGAAAGAACACCAUCCAUGUGUGUUGCUUGGAAGUUAAAACUUCCAUUAAAAAUAAAGAUCUUUUUAUGGUAUUUAAAGAAAGGGGUGAUUUUAACAAAGGACAACCUCACUAAAAGGAGAUGGCAGGGAAGUACCAAUUGUUGCUUCUGCAGAUCAAAAGAGACAGUGCAACAUCUCUUCUUUGAUUGUAAUCUUGCCAGAUUCAUAUGGAGUACGGUUUUCUUUUCGUUUGGAAUUCAACCACCGACGAGUGUUCCUUAUGCUGGGAUCUUGGGCUAGAGGGUUUCCUCGGAAGAUUAGAAACCAGAUGAUUAUAGGAGCUGGUGCUCUUUGUUGGGCCAUGUGGUUGAACAGAAACGAUGUACUGUUCAAAGGCACGAUCACUAAUUCCUUCUUGCAGGUAAUCUUCAGAGGGACCUAUUGGACAAGAACAUGGGCGGUGCUAUCAAUGGAGGAAGAGAAAAAUGAAAUGAAGAACAACUGUAGCAGGCUCGAAGGCACUGCCUUGGAAUUCUUCUCCAAUAAGUAUGGCUGGAACUUCAGACGAAGAAUACUUCAGUAACAGGAUUUCAUCUAGGCACCGGAGAAGAUCUUAGAGUCCUAUCUAGUGCUUAGGAGUCGUGUUAGUGUUCCUGUCUUUGGAGUGAACUGUGAGUCUUCAAGGGUAGUACUGCUAGAACAGCCUAAGUGUUGAGUUUCUGUAUUUGUGGUGUUAGUUUGGCUGCAGGCAUCCACUCGUGGAUGACCGAGGCCGGAUUCUUUCCUUUAUCUAAAAAAAAAAGAACUGAGGCGUUCAUUGCGUCGGUCCGACUGGCACUACAAGCUCCCCUUGCUGCGGGGCCCCCUAAGCCCACCGCUCCUCCUCCGGCACAGACGCCAAGACGGAGUACAAGGCUGGCAACUAACGCGCUAAACUCUGCGAUCCGUCCAUCCAAGAAGGGGGAACUUCUGACCAUGAAAAAACUCGGCAUCUUAACCCAAGAGCACCAAACUACCUCAGCAGCUGACAAAGAUUUCAACAAAUUCUUGACCACGACAAUGAAGCCGUGCCAUUUUGCGGCAUUCAGGGACAUCUUCCCGGCGGCCAAUAACCUCUCGAUUGGGAAAUGAAGUUCCCUUUUGCCUUCCUUCAGACGCUCUCCUCUGAUAUUUCAGACCAUUGCCCCCUACUGCUAACCACCAACUCAAACUUUUCGGUCAAAAGACGCUUCCAUUUUUAGAUUUGGUGGCUCAAGUUGCCUGGCUACUUGGAAACUGUCGCACAGGGUUGGGUGUGCCCAUCGCACAUCUCUGAUCCUUUCACAAAACUUGACAUGAAGCUUAAAAACACUGCUAGAAAGCUUCAGAGCUGGAGGGGAAUGCAAACACAAGACUUUUCCAUUUGCAAUGUGGCCACAGGGCCAAAAAGAAAUUUAUUGCAAGGCUUGAGCAUGAGGGAGGUGUGGCAAUCUCACAUGAGGAAAAAGAGCAGGUUUUGUUCAGCCACUUGUCUGCUAUUUUGGGCACUGCUAUGCAAAGAGUUGAGAUAGUGAAUUUAUCUGUGUUGGGUUUCACGGCGAGAAACUAAAGCCACCUGGAGGUUCCUUUCAUCGAAGAGGAAAUUUGGAAUGCAAUCUGGAAUCUUCCAAAUGAAAAAGUGCCCGGCCCAGAUGGCUUCAUCGCUGAGUUCUAUAAGACAGCCUGGUCAAUCAUCAAAACUGAUGUGCUGGCGGCCUUUGAUGCAUUCUAUAGGAACAUAGUGGCACAACUGCAUAAACUCAAUGGAGCCUUGAUCACCUUAUUGCCCAAGAGGCAGGAUGCCAAAAUACGAGGAGAUUAUAGACCAAUCAGUCUCAUCCACAGUUUCGGGAAGCUCCUGGCAAAGCUGUUAUCAAACAGAUUAGCACCUGAACUCAGCGCUUUGAUAGAUGUCAACCAGAGUGCUUUCAUUAAGCAGAGAUCUAUCCAUGACAAUUUUAAAUUCGUUGAAUAGGCUGCUAGAACCUUACAUAGGAAAAAGAAGCCUACACUACUGAUCAAACUUGAUAUCUCCAAAGCCUUUGACAGUGUCUGCUGGCCUUUCCUGUUGCAGCUGUUGCAAGCCAUGGGGUUUGGUUUAAAGUGGAGAAAUUGGAUGGCAACCCUGGUUUCCUCAGGUACAACAAGAAUAUUGCUCAAUGGUUCUCCAGGGCCGGUGAUUCAUAAUGCAAGAGGCUUAAGACAAGGGGAUCCCUUGUCCCCAAUGCUCUUCAUUCUCACAAUUGAGGUGCUCCACAGGCUCCUGAGGAAAGCAGUGCAGAAUGGUGUCCUCAAACCUCCGACUGAUUCUGCAAUACAUCAUCAGUGCUCCAUUUAUGCGGAUGAUGUAGUGUUGUUUGCUGCCCCUGAGGUUCAGGACAUCACAACCAUAAGAGAAACUCUUAAUUUCUUCGGCAGCACAUCAGGUUUACACACCAACCUGCACAAGAGCUUAAUAGCUCCCAUAGCUUGCAAUGCUGAGCAAGUUCAGAACAUCCAGGGCAUCUUGCCAGCUCAGAUCGCUGUGUUCCCCAUCCAAUACUUAGGAUUGCCCCUAUCAGUUACCAGGCUCAAGAAGUCGCACUUUCAGUCCUUAAUUGACAAAGUUGCAGCAAGUAUUCCGACAUGGAAGGCUCCGUUGAUGAACAAAGCAGGCAGGCUCACCACUGUAAAAGCAGUUAUGAGUGGAACUGUUGGAAUAAAGUGGCUAAAAAACAUUCCAGAUUUUAUUUGGAGGAAAAACACAUAGAUGAAAAUUAACGCAAGCAUACAACACAUGUAAACAGUCAGCAUAUUGACUAGAACAAGGUGUUGCAGGGACAUUACUCAAUAAUUCCGCAUAGAACGUAGUCGAACGUGUUGUAGGUGUUGCAGAGUCACCAAGCGGUCGCGUGUAGAUGCUGCCCAAAAACCUAAUUGUCGCCCCGUGCAGGAGUCUCGCGGCAGUGGUUUCGGAGAUCCCGUGCAGGACGUCUCCUGGUGUUAUAGACUCAAUACAACAUAAGUUUCCCCCAUCAAACAGCCUCAUAAAUUAGUAGUCACAAGUCACAAGUCACGCGAUUUUUCACGCAAAAAUGUGCGUGCGUGUAGCAACAGGCUCCUCUCUCUCUCACUUGCACCUUUUUUGCAUAAAGAGAAGACCCCCAUAUUUAAGCAAAGUAACCUCUCCUUGAAUUAACAAUAUGGGACUAAAGGUUGUGCAUGCUUUGGAAUUUUCAGAUUAGGCCAUGUAUGGGCCAAAAUCCAACAGGAACAUCAAAGGAGAGUAUUCAGCGAAAUCGGCAUAUCGUUUCUUCUUCAGAACUGCCGUCAGAUGCAGUCAGAUUCGCUGCAGCUAAGCUGAUUUGGAAAGUAUGGGUUCCUCUCAAAAUUAAGUUCUUCAUGUGGUUGGCUAUCAAGAACAGGUUGUGGACGGCAGCGAGGAGGCAAAAACGUGGACUGCAAGACCAGGCUGAUUGUGUGCUUUGUGAUCAAGAGUUAGAGACGGCAAAUCACCUGCUAUCCAGAUGCUCCUACACUCUCCAGGUGUGGCAACAUAUCAGCGCUUCAAUGAACUUGCUGAAUAUUGCUCCAACACAAAAUCAGUCCCUCCUUGACUGGUGGCUGCAAAAAAGGGAAGGAUUCAAUGCCUGCAACCGAGCGUUCGGCCGCUCGCAGGCAGAGUGUGGAGCGCCUAGUCUAGGAGAUCACAACUGAAGGGGACCUCUAGUGCGCGGCAGGCGCCAAACACCUGGCAGCACUUGGCUGGCCAGGGACAGCAGGGUUGCCUAUCUCAUAGAGGAUCUACUCUUCUCUAUCCAUUCGUUGUAAGAGUUUCAUGUAAUAGCUGUUAAUGUAAGCUUAAACCGUAUGCGUGCACCCGGCAGGCCAUGUUGUAUGUCUUUUUUCUGCUUAAUACAAAGAUUCGCAGCUCUCCUGCGUGUUCACGAAAAAAAUGAAUACAUACUUGUAUGAGCAUUGCAUUGUAAAAUGUACCAAAGUGCAGUCACUGCCUUCUUCUCACAAACAAACAAUACUCGAUAAACACAUAAAGUCAUUCGCUCAUGAUGCUGUUCAACAAAAAACAAAGCUUUGAACACAUUCAUACAAGGUAAAGUCGAACAAACCAAACCACUUAGAAAACAUGAUAAAAUCCAGAAUUGGACCGAACUAAUUGCUGACAUGACUUGAUAGUAGAUGACAUAAAUAUGGAUGAGGAUGUGUUGACACUUUUUUGAGCCAACACACGAACGCACACGAUCGUGCGGUGCACGGAGGGGCUCGCGGCAGCACCUCGACGCAGGCCGGUCUAACCGGUUAUAGGGAUUGGUCUGACCGGUUGUUGGGUAGGUCGACGGUAGACCUUCGAACGUUCACCCGGGAAGGAUCCCGUCGGGGGCAGGCGCAUACAGGGUUGCUCUAGGAUCGGCAGGCCACCUAGAGCGCCUUCAAACCUCGUCGAGACGAAGGAAGAACAGCAAGUGGUAGAUUGGAAAAGCUAGGGCAAAAGAAUAAAGGAAAAAAAAUGAUAAAUAAUAGAUUGGUUUAUGUCGACUAGGUUGGAUGUCCUCAACCGGUCGAAUCCCUUUAUAUUUAUAGGGAGGGAAGGUCUUCCCCACGUAGAAGUCGAAAUCCUAAUACAAAUCGUGCCAAAUUACAACUCCUACUCGGAUUACAUAGAGCCAGACUGGUCAGACCGGCCUGGGCAACCGGUCUGACUGGUCUGCUCGGGUGCAGAUUUUGCCAAGAUCGUAUCUCCCUCAUCCGAACUCCAAAUCGGACGUUUUAUAUAUGAAUCUUGAUCUACUCGACAAGAUCUACACAAUGGUAGAGUCCAAUCUUCAUUUGGAGUACUUUGAUCCAACCAGUCUGACUGAUGGGUCAACCGGUCUGACUUGUCUGCACAGGGUGCUGAUUUUUUCGAGGGCAUAACUCUCUCAUCCGAAGUCCAAAUCGGACGUUCCAUAUAUGCAUUUUGAUCGUCUCGAUGACAGCUACACCAUGGUGAAGUAAAAUUUGCAUUUUGAGAACAUUCACCAAACCGGUCUGACCGGUUGGAAGACCGGUCUGAACAGGCCUGACCAGAUUUUCCAAGUCCUACCACUUUUGGGCUCCAACAGGAUGUGUCUACAGUAAUUUAAUAAUACUAACAACUAGAAUCAAAGGAUACAUAUCAACUGCAAAAUCAUAAGCAAGGCACACUCUAUGUUUCCAUUUGGGCUUAUUCUAUAGCAAAUCUAUGUAAACUACUUAAGUAUUCACAGCAGGCUGAGUAGCAGGGUCCAGCUUUCUCUGCUCCUAAAUUUUCCUGAGCUUAAUACCCUUACCCUUGGGGAGACUCACCCAUGGUUUGUUCCCCUUGCCAAUUGUGAGCACAUUGCCCAAAUAGGUGGCAAAGGCAUGUGUUAGAAUGUGUGUAAUUGGGCCCAGCCCGGCUAGGCCCAUGCGCAUGGCUCCCCCUGACAGGCGCUUGUUGCGCCAGAUCAGGAGCCAGCCACCAGGGCUUUCUUGUCCCUUGCCUAUAUAUGUGUACGCUAUGCACCUCCAUAAUCAAUCUACAAUUUCCUAGCCAUAUUUGCUUUCAUGGUAUCACGAGUCCGGGUUCCUACCCCGAUUUAGCUUCCGCUUUUCUAGCACAUGCCGUCACUAUGGCUGGCUCCACGUACCCUGUCGCUGAUCCAGUCGCUACAUCGCCCACGGCAGAGGAGCAACACCUCGCCGAGGAGGCCUAGCGGCAGGCUGCCCGCACUGCCACCCUCGCCCACGCUGUCCAGGCUGGGCAGCUGGCGGCUACCGCGGCUCAGGAACGCGACGCCGCUGAUGCCCACCUCCGCGACGCCCUGGCCCUUGCUGUCGAGGAGCGCGCUGCCGCUAAGGCCGCUGAUCCACCACCCAGCAUUCACCCUGACAACGAUGACGAUGACCACAAGAAUCAUGUCGUCCCCUUUGUCCACGACGCCAUGCUGCUCCACGAGGUCGCCGCCGUCCUGAACCUGCACGCCCAGCCUGUUGCACUUUAGAACAUCUGCAGCCUCAUCCCGAUCAUCCUCGACGUCGCCUCCACCAACUACGCCCGCUGGCGCGAGCAAUUUCUGCUCACCGUCGAGAAGUUCUCCCUCGACGCCCACGUGCUUCAGGACAGUCCUCUCCCCGGUCACCCUGACUAGGCGCGGAUGGAUUGCGUCGUUCGGUCUUGGAUCUACGGCACCCUCUCCAACGACCUCACCGACACCGUGAUGACGCCUGGCGCCACUACCCGCUCCGUCUAGCUUGCCGUCGAGUCUCAGUUCCUCGGCAACCACGACACACGCGCCCUCCUCCUUGAUGCCCAGUUUUGCACCUUCGUCUAGGGUGAUCUAUCCAUCACUGACUACUGCCGCCGUCUGAAGGCCAUGGCUGAUGCCGGCGAGCUCGGUGAGCCUGUCACUUACCGAUCCCUCAUCCUCAACGUCAUCCGCGGCCUCAACUCCAAGUACGCCACCAUCGGUCUUCACCUUCGUCGUGCUCGCCCGUUCUCAAUGUUCCUGGAGGCUCGGAAUGAUCUGCUGCUCGAGGAACUCACCUUCACGUAGCCGUCCUCGGAGCCCUCCACCGCUCUUCUCGCUGCUACCCCGAGCGCCUCCACAUCAGCCCGGCCGCCCCAGGCCUCGCAGUAGCCCCAUUCUGGGGGUGGCUCCUCCAAGACUCGUCACAACAAACGUAACUCCGGUAGCUGCAACUCCAAGGGUGGCAACUCCGGCAGCGGUAGUAACAGCGUCGGUGUCAGCCAACGCCCCUCCAGCGGCACCAAGCAGGGCGCCCCCCAGGGCCCCUCCAACGUCACUCCCUAGCUCUCCUUCCAGAACCCGUGGACUGGGGCCAUCCAGAUGUGGCCCGGUACAUGCGCUCCGCAGCCCGGGGCACCCCACGCCAUGCUGGCCCAGUUCUCCAUGCCACGCUAGCCCAGCAGGCGCAGCUCCAGGCACUCCAGGUAGCCCAGUUCCAGGCUGCCCAGCUGUAGGCUGCCCAAUUGCAGGCGGCCCAGGCGCAGGCUCAGGCAUACUAGGCCGCCUAGGCAUAGGCUCUACAGCAGGUGCCGUACCAGCUCUCCAUCGCCGGCACCGCCACCAGCACACCAUCGUGGGAUUAGCAAUCCCUCGCCUCCACCUUCAACACUAUGACGCUAAACCAGCCGCAGCAGCACAAGUGGUACUUCGAUUCAGGUGCUACCUCCCACAUGACCUCCGAUGCUCAUUCCUUCUCGCAUAAUUUCACCCAGCGGUACCCUUUUCCAUCAGCUAUUGUUGUCGGUGACAGUUCUUUACUUCUUGUCACCUCCACUAGCGCAGAUGUUCAUCCGGGUCCUUAACAUCUUAAUAAUGUUCUUGUUUUACCCAACCUUAUUAAGAAUCUUAUUUCCAUUCGCCAAUUUACCAUCGAUAACAAUUGCUCAGUUGAAUUUGAUUUGUCUGGUUGUUCUGUGAAGGAUCUUCGAUCCAGGAAUGUGAUUGUCAGGUGCAAUAGUUCGGGUCCGCUAUACCCCCUGCACCUCCCUGCUGCUGCUACUCUUACUGCUGGCGUCACCUCCACGGUCUGGCACCAUCGUCUCGGCCAUCCUAGGCAGGAAGCCCUCGCCCGUCUUGCGCUAAUUUUACCUUCAUGUAAUAAAGACAUUAGCUCAUCUCUCUGCCAUGCAUGUCAGCUCGAACUACACACUCGUCUUCCCUUUCGAGUGUCCUCCUCUUGAGCUUCCAGGAAUUUUGAUCUUAUUCAUUGUGAUCUCUGGACAUCACCUAUUCCUAGCAUCUCAGGUUUUAAAUAUUAUUUAAUUGUUCUCAAUGCUUGCUCUCACUUUUCUAGAACUUUUCCUCUAAGGCUGAAAUCUGACACAUUUGAUACUCUUGCUAAUUUCUUUUCCUACGUGCUUACACAGUUCGGCGCCACCAUUAAGGUCGUCCAGUGCGAGAACGGUCAUGAGUUUGACAACUCUAGCGCUCGCACGUUCUUCCUCUCCCGUGGCGUCCACUUCUGGUGGUAUGCUCUGAUGCUGAUUGGGCGGGCUAUCCUGACACACGCAAAUCCACUUCCGGUUAUGUGGUCUUCCUCGGCGACAACCUGAUCUCUUGGUCCUCAAAGCGUCAGCCCACCGUCUCGCCAAAGCUGAGUACCGUGUUGUGGCCAAUGCCGUCGCCGAAGCUACCUGGCUAUGCCAGCUACUUCAAGAGCUCCAUGCCCCCACUUCACCGCACCUCCUUGGUCUAUUGCGACAACAUCAACGCGGUCUACAUGUCCUCCAAUCUGGUUCAGCAUCAGCACACCAAACAUAUCGAGAUCGAUCUUCACUUCAUUCAGGAGCGCGUCGCUGUGGGUGACGUUCGUGUACUACAUGUUCCCACAUCGUCCUAAUACGCCGAUGUCUUCACCAAGGGGUUGUCGUCUUCUAUUUUUACAGAAUUUAGGUCCAGUCUAAACAUUCGUGGCACCAGCGAUUAGACUGCAGGGGCGUGUUAGAAUGUGUGUAAUUGGACCCUAGCCCGGCUAGGCCCAUGCGCAUGGCUCCCCCUGAUAGGCGCCUAUUGUGCCAGAUCAAGAGCUAGCCGCCAGGGUUUUCUCGUAGAAUAGGUAAGGCUCCUAACCCUAGGACCCUUGUCUAUAUAUGUGUACGUGCUAUGCACCUCCGUAAUCAAUCUAUAAUUUCCUAGUCAUAUUUGCUUUCAGCAAGACCAAGGCAUCCUCCACAUGGAGGAUCUCAUAAUUGCCCUUGUGCUUCUCCCUAUUCUUUUAUUAUAGCAACCUGACCAGUCUAGUGACCGUGACAACAUUACCCACAUCAAACUUGAUGAAAUCAACAAUCUUACCUGUCUCCGGAUCAAUUUUGAUUGUGUCAUUCACUCAUUUGCCUUUGGCCUGUUUAUUUCUGCAGGACCGUGCAGUGUGGCAGCAGGGAUGACGCCCGGGUGCGCGGAGCCCCGGUGGUGGGAUCGACGACAAGGGUGCGCGUGCGGGGCGGUCGCCCCGACCUGGUGCUGGUGGCUGCCUGUGCAUCACCGACACUUGGUGGCUCUACAUCCAGGUGGCUUUGCGUUUCGUGCGGCUGUACAAUUCUAUAAAUACAAAAGUCUCUCUACAUGUACAAUUUGAUCACUACACAAAAUAUCUCUACACUACCUGAUCACUACAAUACACCGAAGCGACAACACCUAUCGUUCUGGUAGGUGAAGUUGCAACCAAGUGUUAGGUGAAGAUAGAAUAAUUAGCUGAAAAAAAAUCAGUUUUACAACAGGCAUCAAAGGGGAAGAGCAAUAUCAUUUCAGUCAAUAGUAUAAACAAUAUGCUUUACAAUAAGUAUUUUAUAAUACAGGUAAUCUAAUAAAAUCAAGUUUGUGUUCAAAAAAUAUAUAUAGUCGACUUGUCCAUCCGUAUCUCCAUGUUAUCUUGUUAGUUGGCUCUGAACGUCCAAAAAGAAUGCCAAUUGGUGAGCUGCUGAGGUCAAUUAUAACAUGCUAGACCUAUUGGUACGUCAAUAAAAUCACUAAACUGCUUUGACUAGGUAAAAGGGGUUAAUUUGUCUGGUUUUAAGAGAUGUUAGAUGUGUGUUGUCUAGUAUUCGAGCUCAAGAUUUUUCUUACUCUUCCCUUCCUUCCUCCUUCAAACCUCUCAUCCGAGCCCAAUCUCUCGCAUGGAGCCCGACUCCUCUUAGACCUCCUUUGGAAUAUAGGAUACAUGUAGAAAUUUUGUAGGAUUUGAAUUCUAUAGGAAUUUUUCUCAUGUGUCCCUUUGGAACAAAGGAUUGGCUAACCUUUUAAUCCUUCAAAAUUCAUAUGGAAUGGUUUAAUCCAUAGGAAUUUUGGAGAAAAUCUAACAUGAGGUCUAACCUCUUGGAAACUCUUCUUUGUGUCUAUCUCUCUUCUCGUUUCUUUGUUUUUCCUACGUUGCAUCCAAACACACAAUUACAAAUUUUUCUACAUUAUCAAUUUUUAUAGGAUUGCAAAUAUCACGUAACUCCGUUCCUACGUUUUUCCUAUUCCCACGUUUGGAGAUUCCUUUUUAAAGAUGUCCUUAGCUUUCUAUUUUAGGCCUUGUUUAGUUCCCAAUUUAGGAGUGGCAAAAUUGGCAUUUUGCCAUAAAUGCGCAAUGUAGUAUUUUGUUUGUAUUUGUGAAUUAUUAUCCAAACAUUGGCUAAUUAGGCUCAAAAGAUUCGUCUCGCAAAGUACAAUAAAAAUGUGCAAUUAGUUUUUGAUUUUAUCUAUAUUUAGUACUCCAUACAUGUACCGCAAGUUUGAUGUGAUGGGGAAUCUUUUUUUACAUAGUGUUAAAGUUGGGAUUUUGGAGGGAAGUAAAGAAGGGCUUAUUUGUUAUAUGAUUGAUCGUAUGUGACAGUGACCGUGCAACACCUGCAACGUUGAGGUACGUGACAAGGCCACACAUGCAUAUGCCAGCUCAUUGGCUCGCCCUAAUCAGGCACUACCGUCCACAGAAGUCUGAACAACGGGCGUGAACCAGGCUGUACCCUCGUGGUCAUUGUAGAAUGCACAUGGAAAGCCGUGAUGAUAUUAUUUUCUAUUAAAGCCGUAAUGAUCAGGGCUUUCGAUGAUAUUACUCAAAUUUAAAGCCGUAAUGAUGCUGUCGACGAUACUACCGUCCACAGAAGUGGCGCCGGAAGUCCUCGCACGCUGACAACGCAACACUGUUGUUAGUACUGCCAUGGGACCUACUAGUGACAAGGCAGCACAUGCAUGUAGACCCGCUGUUGUUGACGGCUCUCCCUCAGCAAGGACGCUGGGAGCAAUAAUGAGGCCACAUCUGCUUCAUCAUGAUCCUUCGCCGAUUAUUGUUUCAGUCCUUUUGCUUCGCUGUACCUAUAGACCAGUAAUGCUGGACUGAAUCAUGAUUUGAGACCUAAUCCCUUCGUUAAUCUUCUGUAAAGCAGCACAUGUGUAAAGCCUACACGACGAUGUUUUUUCCCCCUCCUGUUUCGCUUUCGCCAUUUGACGAGAUCAACGAAAUUCAUCCGCAACAUCCAUGCAUGAUGAUGAAAUUUGGAGCCUUCUUGACAUGACUUCACCUCCAACUCCCAACUUUGGCACUAUGCAAAAAGAAGAUUCCUCAUCACAUCAAACUUGCGAUACAUGCAUGGAGUACUAAAUGUAGAUGAAAUUAAAAACUAAUUGCACAGUUUUGUUACUUUGCGAGACGAAUCUAUUGAGCCUAAUUAGUCAAUGUUUGACAAUAAUUCAUAAAUACAAACGAAACGCUACAGUAUGCUACAGUGCCAGCACAGUAAUUUAGCACCUCCCAAUUUGGCCAACUAAACAAGGAUUGUGACUCGUGCAGCUGGUACAGAGAGUGACUGAUUCCUGCAUUCUAUUAUUGCCUCUUGAAUAUUCCGUGGCUGUUCAACUGUGUUGUGACGGUGAACAUGAAAAUUGCUUUUUAUAUUUAUGUAUUUUCGUUUGCAAUUUGGGCUUUAUUGAGCUUUUCUAUUUGUUAUGUCCUCAAACUUAAAAUCUUUUUUUUUCUAACAGCGCACAUGAUAUAUCAAUGAUCUUACUGUCUUGCUUCGGAUUAGCAACCUGGUAAUCAUGAAUUAAUUAGACUUAAUAGAUUCGUCUCGCGAAUUAAUUAGCUGCAAUUGGCUUUGUAAUUAGUCUAAAUGUUUAAUACUCCUAAUUAGUAUCUAAACAUUCGAUGUGAUAGGAGCUAAAUUUUAGCUCGAGGAACCGAGCAAAUCCUGCAAUUUUGAAAAGGUGAGGCACUAGUUAAAUUUUAACACGUUAAUAAUUUUAUAAAAUAAAUUCAAGAGACCUUGUCGACGAAAUAAAAGUGGUAGGUACACCGUACACAUCAUUAUUGUCAAGUCAUCGGGCCCAUUUGUUUCGUUCACCAAGAGUCCAAUCGCUAUAAUUGGAGAGGAAGAAAUGGAAGAAUGUGACUCGACCAAUAGAUAAAUGGUAUCGCUUUUUCCCUGUGAGCGCAACCCAGGAAAUGCAAAAGGCUGCUCCAGAAUGCAGAACAUUUAUAUGGUCUUUGAACACACAUGGCUACCUGAACACUGUGCACCGGUAAACACGUUUGUUCAGUGAUCAAUCCAUCAUUAGCAUAACUAAACCAGGAUGUGACUAUUAAGUAGGAGUAUUACCUUAAGAUGUGAACAGAAACACUGCAGCUUCACAAGCACAGCCAACAGCAUCCACACCUGUCGUCAUCAGCUUAUAAAAAUAGCUUGGACUUGUCUAUCAUCUUCUGAUCCUUUGCUUAUUUUAUGGCUCCUGGUGUGAGCUGAGCACAAGUCUUCCAUGCUAGUCUUCUCCUUCUGCCAUUGCAAGUCUUGCAGAAACAUAUCCUCUUCUCCAUCUUCUCUUCCCGUACGCCGCCGGCCCCUCCGCUGCGACCGCUACUGCCCCGCCUCUGCUACUGCUGCUCUGUCAGCCUAGGCACCCAAGAAGGUCAGUGCUUGGCGGUUGUCUCCAUUUACCUCCAAAGCGCUUCCGCAGACCAUCCUCUUCUCCACUCCAAAGUGUCUUCUCAUUUCUCAGCGUGCGUUCUCGUGAGCUCUGACUGCUCCAAUGGCCGAGCUUGUGGGCAGCAUGGUGGUCGGGCCACUGCUGUCUCUGGUGAAGGAGAAGGCGUCCAGCUACCUCCUGGACCAGUACAAGGUCAUGGAGGGCAUGGAGGAGCAGCACAAGAAGCUCAAGGUCAUGCUGCCGGCCAUCCUGGAAAGGAUCACUGACGCAGAGAAGCAGGCAACCUCCAGAGAAGCAAUCAGACCCUGGCUUCAGGAGCUUAAGGUGGCGGCGUACGAGGCCAUCCAAGUCUUCGAUGAAUUCAACUAUGAGGCCCUCCGUCGUCAAGCCAAGAAAGAGGGGCGCUACAUCAAGCUCGGCAUGGAUGCAGUAAAACUCUUUCCCACUCACAACCGCAUCAUGUUCCAUUACAGGAUGGGCAACAAGCUUUGCAAGAUUGUGCGUGAUAUUGAUGCCCUUGUCAAGCAUAUGCACGACUUUGGGUUCGACAAACAGCCACAAGCGCAGGUUCAGAUAAAUUAUCUGCGUGAGAAUGACUCCACCAUGGUUGAUCCAGAGAUUGUCAGCAGAUCCAGAGAUGAAGAGAAGCAAAAGAUUGUUAGAAUGUUGGUCAAAGAACAAGCUAACAAUAAGGAUCCAAUGGUCGUUCCCAUUGUGGGGAUGGGUGGGUUGGGCAAGACCACCCUAGCUCAGCUCAUCUUUAAUGACCCUGAAGUGAAGAAGCAUUUCCACCAACUAAUGAAGUGGGUCUGCGUGUCAGAUGAUUUCGAUGUUUGUAACCUUGCCAACAAGAUCUGCAACGCUUCUGAGAGCAACCUGGAGAAUGCCUUGCAGAAGCUUCAGAGAGAACUCGCUGGAAAGAGGUACUUUUAGAAUUUAAUUUGAUGUUGAUUCACUCAUCUCAAACACGCACACUGGUUUUUUUUCCUCACACACGCUCAAAAUAUGUGCAUUACCCUUGAGAAUAACACGUAAUUGAAAGGAUAAGUAAAGCACAUGCAAACUACAUACACAAAAUUCAACUUCAAACUUAGAUCCGCAUACACUUUUAAUUGCUAGUGCUAGUGAACUUCGUACACUUGAAGAAACUAUGAAAAAUGUACACGCACACAUCAUGUCAAGUCGUACACAGAAGGCAACAUCCAACAUUUUUUUUAAUUAAGGAAAAACAUCCGAUCUUGAACAUUCACACGUGAAUAGAAAAUUUUAGGAUCAUUUGAUCAAAAAUUUUAAGUGAAUAGAUCUUCAAAAGGUUAGCAGGAAAAAAACAUUUCAUCUUUUUCUGCUCCCUCAACUCAUGCUAAGGAGCUGCAAAAGCUAACGACGCCUCUUGUUUUGAGGCCCCAGCAUUGAAAUCAAGAAGACAACAACGCCUCACCACUGGCAAGUUGCCCUCUAGAUAUGCACGGAACUUGCACAUCUCACAUACCAUUUACGCUUCCUCUGGUGGCAUUCACAUAACUUAAGAAAAAGACGUACACAAAUAGAAACGCACUAAUGACAUGAUUAUUUGUAACAGGUAUCUUCUUGUAUUGGACGACGUCUGGAAUAAGGAUGAUAACAAGUGGAACAAGCUGAAUGCUUGUCUUAAACAUGGUGAUGUUGGUAGCGCCAUACUAACGACAACCCGUGAUAAAGAAAUAGCUCAACUCAUGGGUAUAGAUAAAGAACAUGGCAUUGCACGUUUGGACAAUAAAUUCAUCAAGGAAAUUAUUGAGGCUAAAGCAUUCAUUUCGCAAGAGAGAAAACCAGCUGAUUUAGCUGGCUUGGUUGAUGACGUUGUUGAGAGAUGUGCAGGGUCUCCAUUGGCAGCGAAGGCACUAGGAUCUGUACUACGUGGCAAGACAACGGAAGAAUGGAAGGCUGUGCUUAGCAAAAGCAUCGCCCAUAACAAGGACGAUCAAAUCCUGCCUAUUCUCAAGCUCAGUUACGAUGACCUGCCAUCACACAUGAAGCAGUGCUUCGCUUUCUGUGCUGUGUUUCCCAAGGACCAUGAGAUUGACGUGGAAAUGCUGAUCCAACUAUGGAUGGCAAAUGACUUUAUUCCCGAACAAAAAGAUGCUCAUCAUGAAACAAUUGGUAAACAGAUUUUCAGUGAGCUGGUCUCAAAGUCAUUCUUUCAAGAUGUGAAGCAAGUCAAAGGGGAAAGAUAUGAUUCCGUGUAUUGGUAUUUCUCUACAAGUACAUGUAAAAUCCAUGAUCUUAUGCACGAUGUGGCACUUUCUGUCAUGGGCAAAGAAGUUGCUACCAUAACUGAGAAGCCAAAGCAGAGUGAUGAGUUUCUUCAGAACACUUGUCGUCAUAUAUUGUUAUCAUGUGAGAAGCCAGAGGCCGUUUUGAAUGAUUCUCUGAAUAUAAGGUCUCCAGCUAUGCAAACACUACUAUGUGGUCAGCGCAUAGGAAAUUCCCUGCAGCAUCUCGCAAAAUACAGCUCUCUGCGUGCAUUGGGACUUUGGCAGGAUAAGAGCACAAUCCUACUGAAACCAAAGCAGCUACAUCUCUUGAGGUAUCUUGAUAUCUCGGGUAGUGAUAUAGUGGCACUUCCGGAAGAUAUCAGCAUUUUGUACAAUCUGCAAACGCUGAAUGUUGCGCACUGUCGCAAACUUGGCCGGCUUCCAAAGGGAAUAAAGUACAUGACUGCCCUCCGUCACCUCUACACUCACGGAUGUAAGGAGUUGAAGCGCAUGCCACCAGAGGUUGGACAUCUCACUUCCCUGCAAACACUUACAAAUUUCGUAGUGGGUGCAGGCCCUGAUUGCAGUAGUAUUGCAGAGCUGCAGCAUUUAAACAACCUUGGUGGUCCACUACUGCUUAGUCAACUCGAAAAUGUGACAAAAGCAGCAGAUGCAAAACAGGCCAAUCUUGGAAAUAAAAAGGAGCUCAGGGCAUUGUCAUUAACGUGGACACGUAGUGAGGGGGAGAAACAACAUUGUCAUAAGGUGCUGGAGGGUCUGGAAGCUCCUCCUGGACUAGAGGCUCUGAGGUUAAAGUAUUACCAAGGAACCAGUUUCCCAACAUGGGUGGGUACGCGGCCAAAAAUGGUGGAGCUUCAUCUUUCUGACUGUAACAAGUCCAAUAAGCUUCCUCCACUUGAGAGUGUACCAGCUCUACAAGUUCUUCGUCUGGAAAGAUUGAAAAAGCUGGAAAGCUUGUGCAGUGGUGGUACAUUCUUUCACUUUCCUAAUCUGAAGGAGCUUACGCUGGAAGACCUGCCGGAAUUUGAUAGAUGGUGUGAAGUAAACUGGGUCCAAGGAGAACAGAUAAUGUUUCCUCAACUUGAGAAAUUGUUUAUUACAAAUUGUGGAAAGGUUACAGCAUUACCAGGGCCAGCACUUCUCGGAGGAUCGUGCUGUGGAGAUUACAAGGAGCAAGACGAGAGGAAGCUUUGGUCGGCAUUUCCAGUCCUGAAGGAACUCGAAUUAAAAUGCUUAGCAAAGUUUCAGAGGUGGGGGGGCGCUGCUGAAGCAACUCAAGGGCUGCAGAUAAUAUUUCCUCAGCUUGAAAGUUUAUCAAUUUACAGAUGUAAAGAGUUGACAGCACUGCCAGAGGGGCCUGAGCUCGGAGCAGCACCGAAGGUGCUAAAAUCACAAGACUUGGAGCUUGGGACAACAUUGUGUGGUGGAGAUUAUGGAAAGGCACGAUCAUCCUUUCCAGCACUGAAGGUACUAACAUUGUUUUGGUUGGACAACUUUCAGAGCUGGGAGGCAACGGAAGCAGAUCAAGGAGAUACAAUAUUUCCAAAUCUUGAAGAGUUAUCAAUCGAAAAGUGCCCCGAACUGGCAGCAUUACCAUCAGCUACAUCUCAGGGAGUAUCAUUUGACCAUAGUGGUGUUACAGCAUGGUCAACAUUCCCAAACUUAAAGAAGCUCCAGUUAUGUUACUUAGAUAGUUUUAAGAGCUUGGGGAUGACGGAAGAUCAGAGAUUCCCUGACCUUGAGACUCUGUUUGUUGAGAAAUGUCCCAAGUUGACAACUCUACCGAGGGUGAUAGAAGCACCAAAGCUCCGUGUAUUAGAAAUAUAUGGCAGCCAACUGACAGCAAUAAUUGUGCCUACAGUUAUUAACUCAUUGUCCGAACUGGUGUUAUCAGUCGAAGACACAGAAACUACUUUACCAACUGUGCAUGGUGCCUUUGAGCUGGUGGACGCCAAUAAUAAAUACCCUCUGACAGAUCUGGAGCUAAGCGGCUGCAACUUUCUGUUCCCCUCAAGUCCACUGGCACUAUGGACAUGUUUUGUCCAGCUCCAACGUUUGACAAUGAAGAUCAACCAUGCGCUUGUCUACUGGCCGGAAAAAGAGUUCCAGAGCUUGGUAUCCUUGAGGCACCUUACCAUUUGGAACUGCAGUGGUCUGAUUGGGUACGCGAAAGCUGCUCCUGGCCAACCAAUAUCAGAAAGGACCCAAGUUCUGCCCCGUCUC
RNAcentral lists this long non-coding RNA (35079 nucleotides) under Setaria italica (foxtail millet). RNAcentral describes it as "long non-coding RNA (SITA_LNC002652)". The record is from RNAcentral. Lineage: Eukaryota; Viridiplantae; Streptophyta; Magnoliopsida; Poales; Poaceae.